Molecule: long non-coding RNA, 4339 nt
Filed under: Eucalyptus grandis
Lineage: Eukaryota; Viridiplantae; Streptophyta; Magnoliopsida; Myrtales; Myrtaceae
Description: long non-coding RNA (EGRA_LNC000851)
Source: RNAcentral
AAAGUGCAGUGAGAGUUUGAGCAUUUUAACUGUAUCACUACUUUUUACCCGCUCACAACUCAUGAUAAUUUCAAUCAUCGCAAUAUAAAACAUACCAAAGUCCAUAGUAUGAUACUUCUUAAGAUCUUUUACAUAAUAUCCAAUAGUAAGAAAAAAAUAUAAAUCGAUCUUAUUACACACACAUGAAAACAAUCGAACAAAUUGGGCCAUACACGCAUAUUAGGAGAGUCACCUAGCUUUAUAUCACUCAUUUCUUACACCUCUUUCUUUACAAACAAUAAAUUCAUUCUUCAAAAUGUGAUUAAUCAAUUUAACUUGAAUUAUCACAAAUUUAGCCAAUUAUCCUAUUCUACUUCCAUUUCAAGUCGUUCCUUUGCGGUGCUUCUUGUGUCUUUAUGCUUGUAUUCAAUAAUCUCAAUAAGAAGAAAGAAAAGAGUGCAUAAAAAGAGAGCACUAAGGGAGCAUCCGCUCCUCCAUUUGGUGCCAUCCAAUAGCUCUAUUUUAUAGACAAGAUGUCAAUUAAUUUUUUAGAUUUGAAAAUUUGAAUUGAAAGGCUCGGUGAUGGCAUAUUAAUGACGUGCGGACCACUCAAGUGCCUUAACUUUGCCCAAAGGGACACUUAAGUGCCAUAACUUACGAAAGGUACACUUAAGUGCCAAAAUCGGAGUAAAAGAGAUCACUUGAGUGCCAAUCCGGCCAAUAUCCGGCCAAAACGCCAACGUGGCGUUUUUCCGGCGAAGCGCGGCCAAAACGGCGCCGUUUUGCACGUUGACGUGGCCAAAACGGCGUCGUUUCGACUGACGUGGAACAAAAUAAAUAAAUAAAUAAUUUAAUUUAAUUUAAAAUUAAAUUUAGUUAAAAUAUUUUAAAAAAUAAUAUUUAAAAAUUUAAAAAACUUUAAAAAAAANNNNNNNNNNNNNNNNNNNNNNNNNNNNNNNNNNNNNNNNNNNNNNNNNNNNNNNNNNNNNNNNNNNNNNNNNNNNNNNNNNNNNNNNNNNNNNNNNNNNCGUCAGCGUGCAAACGGCGUCGUUUUGGGCGCGCUUCACCGGAAAUACGCCACGUUGGCGUUUUGGCCGGACUUUGGCCGGAGUGGCACUCAAGUGAUCCGGUUUUUUUCGAAUUUGGCACUUAAGUGUACCUUUCGUAAGUUAUGGCACUUAAGUGUCCCUUUGGCCAAAGUUAUGGCACUUGAAGCGUUCUUUUGCCGCAUAUUAAUUUAAAACAAAUUCAUUUUACAUGGAAUUGUAGCAUGUGGUGCCAGCGUGAAAUAGAUAAAAGAUAAUAACUACGAGCAUUUAUUUAUCUCUACCUCACAUUUCCAACUUCAUAAAGAAUAUGACAAUUUUAAACAAAAUUAAAAUAUAAAGUCCCAAGUGCUUGUGCUUGAAGAGGAGAAACUCCAAUCACCAUAAAUCAUUGAGACUCUCAUUUUUGUUCUGAGAUAUAUUUGGUUUGAUGGCUUUAGGGUAAGGUGCGAAGGUGAUCCUUGAAUUGUACUGUCUUUCAAGACUUGAACACAAGUUGAUCUACUUCUAGGCGACUUCUUCUCAAAUACUAAGACCCAUCAUAGUAAUUUCAUCUCUGCAUCGCUUCUCAAGGUAAGCCAAACCUUCAUUCUCCUAUCUAUUACAAUUGAUAGGACUAAAAUAUAUUCGAUUAUUACUCAUGGCCUGAUGCCUAACAUCCUUGAAGGCAUACAAAAUAUUUCUUGUGAAAUUCCCUUGAUUUUUUUUUCAAAAUCAUCAUCACAUAUAUUGCUAAUUUUUCUUAUUAAAAUCUUCUCAUUUAAAUUAAUUGGUUAUUUUGAACCAAAAAAAAAAAAAAAACUUUAUGAAUGGUUAGACCGGUUGACUCUGGUGGAAUCACAUGCUAGCCUUAUCUUGACGUUGUUUUCAAAACACAAAACAUUAAUGGUUAACUGAACUCUUGGGACAAAAAAGCCUACUUGAUAAAAAUUGUGAAAAUACCCUUCUAGACUCAAUUUUGGUCCAUUGGCCUUAUACAUACAACAAUUGUCCAAAAUUACUUAAAGCAUGAAAGAUCCAAAUACUCAGUUUUUGUGAAAAUAUUUCUUUUUUUCUUGAAAAUAGUUAAAAAAACUAUAUUUUUCCGAAUAUUGAUGGUGCUAGUCUAUUUCCUUCUAUAAUCGUACAAAAACUUUCACAGGCUACAGAUGAGAAUUAUCAACAACAAUUUUUUUUUCGAACAGGUCAGAUCAACCAGAAAAUUUUUGGAUGUCCAUAAUACCAUUUUUCAUUUUAUCGGCAAUUUUCUUAAUUUCUAGAAAAAUGACAGAAAAUUCAAAUGUCUUCCGGAAAUUAUGAAAAAAUCACAAUCAUAGGGGGUUGUUGUGCUGGUUAAAAUGGAAAGCUUGAAAGUGAGCAAAGCUGCUGCUUUCAACAUACUUACGCAUAUUUAAUAUGUGGACAAUUUUUAGGUGGACUUUAUCUUUGUGGAUUGAAUUAGAGAAACUCAUGAUAAAGUGUGGUUUUCAUGCGAUUUUACUGCUUAGAGCAAAGACAUGACUUUUAUAUAUAUAGCGUAGGAAAUUACCAACUUACAAUGGAUUUGACAAUAUGAUUUAUGCAUGUUUAGGGUGGGAGGAGAAUUUAGCAUUUGUAGGAGUAAGAACAUCUUUGAAAAUAAUAUAAUGGAAGAUUCAUACGUCGGUUAGAGCCACAUUUAUCAGUUUAACAAAAUGGCUUCUAAGUAGAUAUGAACAGAAGCGGUCAUUCUAUUCUUACCUUUUACUAUAAAAAAAGAAGAAGCGGUCAUUCUGUACUCUGGUCUGAAUUGUGUGGCUUGACUUGGCUUGCCACCUGAACAAUUUUAUUGCUUCUAGUCUAUCAGCCAUAUGAGGAUAUCGGUCCAUCAAUUAUAAUUUGAGACUAUCGCCUACUACUAAUUGGUCCUCUCUCUCUCUCUCUCUCGUUUCUCUCUUUAUCAUUCGCAUUCGGCCUCUCUCUUGCAGAACAAUUCGAGGCUAUUGUCUACUGAUUAGUCCUCACUCGCUUCCUCUAUUCUUUAUCCAUCUUGAAAGUUCUCGCCCAAGCUUGUUUACAGUCUCCUCUCUCUUCGGUCUCGUGCCUCUCUUAGCAUCUCAGCUCGCUUGUGGUAAUCACUUUUUCAUUCUUAUUAGCAUCCCAUUUAUUUUGAUUUUGUCACUUUAUUAUUGGAAUAAUUGGCUGAACUAAGUGUGCUCUGGGCCCUUUUUGUCUAUUGGGGUUGUGGGGGUGGUUGUUGAAUAGCAGAGGAGGGUCUUCUAUUCUCUCUUUUGGAGUCGCUGUUGCCUAUUGACGAGGUAUGUCCCCAGCUUAGAUUUGACUUCAGUGAAAAAAGGAAACCCUUUUGUUUUCGACUUUAGAUGUGGCUAAUUUUAUGAUGGCCUUCCUAUCUGAUUCUUAAUUGCAUCGUAAUUCAGUACUGAUCUUUUGUUGAACUAGAGCAAAUAGGUCUGCAAGUACACUAGACUCUGUUGCACGCAAAUUUGCCACAUUUCAGUUGAAUUCAUAGACCAUUCUAUUUUUUUUUAUGCAUUGUGAGGUUUCUCUAUGUUUGAAGAUCCGAGAUCAAUUUAUGGAAAAAUAAAUCAAAAAAAUAUAAGUAGGCUGAUUCUUGGGUCAACUACUUUGGUUAUCGGUUAUAAAAGAGGAGAACCAAUCAUUACAUACUAAGUUCCUAAUUCUUUGUUGAGAACCCAUUUAUCCUGAAAUCAAUCAUCCUAAGAGUAAGUCUUCUUAAGAGAAGACUUUAUUCAAUAAUUUUACUCCCUCUAGAACAUUCCAAAUGAGUAUUUUCCUGUUUUACUCGAAUUGUUGGACCAUUAAUCCUAGAAAGUAUAUUCCCUUUCACCUCUGAUUCAUUUUCUCCCUUCUUUAGCAAGAAAAAAGAAAAAAAAAAUCAUUUUCUUACUUCAAAGCUUCAAAAAUUGACUGAGUCUUUACUUAAAAAAGGAAAAGUAAAUGAGGAAUUAAAAAGUACGGUGAGAGUUUGAGCAUUUUAACUAUAUCGCUACUUUUUACUUGCUCACAACUCAUGACAAUUUCAAUCAUCGCAAAAUAAAACAUACCAAAGUCCAUAUUAUGAUACUUCCUAAGAUCUUUUACAUGAUAUCCAAUAGUAAGAAAAAAUAUAAAUCGAUCUUAUGACACGCUCAUGAAAACAAUCGAAUAAAUUGGGCCAUACACGCAUAUUAGGAGAGUCACCUAGCUUUAUAUCACUCAUUUCUUACACCUCUUUCUUUUCAAAUGAUAAAUUCGUUCUUCAAAAUGUGAUUAAUCAAUUUAACCUGAAUUAUCACAAAUUUAGCCAAUUAUCCUAUUCUACUUCCAUUUCAGGU